RNAcentral lists this transfer RNA (77 nucleotides) under Pseudaquabacterium terrae. RNAcentral describes it as "tRNA-Ile". It matches the Rfam family "tRNA". From Rfam's summary of the family: Transfer RNA (tRNA) molecules are approximately 80 nucleotides in length. Their secondary structure includes four short double-helical elements and three loops (D, anti-codon, and T loops). Lineage: Bacteria; Pseudomonadati; Pseudomonadota; Betaproteobacteria; Burkholderiales; Sphaerotilaceae. The record is from RNAcentral.
GGUCGCAUAGCUCAGCCCGGUAGAGCACCGUCUUGAUAAGGCGGGGGUCGUUGGUUCGAGUCCAACUGUGGCCACCA